RNAcentral lists this transfer RNA (83 nucleotides) under Alkalinema sp. RU_4_3. RNAcentral describes it as "tRNA-Ser". It matches the Rfam family "tRNA". Rfam says of the family: Transfer RNA (tRNA) molecules are approximately 80 nucleotides in length. Their secondary structure includes four short double-helical elements and three loops (D, anti-codon, and T loops). Lineage: Bacteria; Bacillati; Cyanobacteriota; Cyanophyceae; Leptolyngbyales; Leptolyngbyaceae. The record is from RNAcentral.
GGAAGUUACUGCUAAUGGUUAGCGACUCGUCUCGAAAACGAGAGUACAGCUAUGCUGUAGGGGUUCGACUCCUCUAACUUCCG